RNAcentral lists this non-coding RNA (191 nucleotides) under Roseivivax marinus. Lineage: Bacteria; Pseudomonadati; Pseudomonadota; Alphaproteobacteria; Rhodobacterales; Roseobacteraceae. The record is from RNAcentral.
GUAGCAGGAAGGCGCUCAGGUCCGGCACAUGCCGGUGAAAAGGGAACGCGGUGCGACGCCGCGGCUGCCCCCGCAACUGUAAGCGGUGAGCGCGACCGGAAGAUGCCACUGGGGCCAACGCGGCCCCGGGAAGGCCCGGCCCGCGCGAUGACCCGCGAAGCCAGGAGACCUGCCAGAGCGAUCACCCUACC